Podarcis lilfordi (Lilford's wall lizard) is the source of this 699-nucleotide non-coding RNA. Lineage: Eukaryota; Metazoa; Chordata; Lepidosauria; Squamata; Lacertidae. The record is from the annotation of a GenBank genome assembly.
CAGCAACAGACUGAUGUUGGUCACCACAGCCCACAGGAUUCAUCAAGACUGUGGACAAAUGAAGCAAAAGUCAGUGAGUUCAAAGGGUGUGGGGUGGUGCCAGGGAAAAAAACAGCACCAAAACAAUGUGAACAUGUCCACAACAUAUGCAAAAAAAAUUUCCCCCUCCGAGAGAAGGCAUGUCAACAUUAACCAAAAAAAAGUAACUUGAAGGUAUGUAAUUAGCUAUGGGGUUUUCCUCCCACCACCACUAUGGAGCAUGAGGCUAGGCUGACCACUGGUUUAGCUGUGCCAUGAAAGAUCAGGCAUUAGUCAGAUAUGGGAAGGGCAGGAUUGUGACUGGAAUGGAAUAGUGGUGAAAUUAUAUCCAUACCAUUCCUUGGGCAGGAUAAGGGAAUUCUCUUAUAACCCUGGAAUGCCACAACCACCUAAUAUGCAGAUUUAACCCAUAGAUAAGCAUUCCAAGACCAAGAAUACCAAAAACCCCUUUCUGAGUAUGGGCAGAUGCAGAAGUGGCAAACACCAGUGACAAUUCCAAAGACUUCCAUCUCAUUGACACACAUAGGAAGGAGGCAAAGGGAAGGAGAGAAAGAAGAAUGGAAACAUGCUGAACACAGGACCUCAUUAGCUAACUUGGGUCUGGCUGAUUCUGCAGCACGCCUGUGUGUGGCAGGAGGGGAAGUCUCCUAUGACUAAAUA